GAUAAAGACUUAGUUGAGUUGAGUCGAGUAUAUAAAAGAUCAAAUUUGGGCAACAGCAAGGAUAUGAAUCAGCACUAUGUUACAAGAUCAAACCAGAAGAAAGUCCUACAUCAUAUAGAAUAACCUCAGCAUCUUUGGUAUAAGGAAGGAUUCACACAUCCAUAAGAAUUUUAUUUCCCAAGCAUUGGGAUAUACAAUAAACCAAAAUUCUACAAACCAAAAUCCCACUCCUAAGUUCGACAACCAAAAGGAGCUUCUUCUUUUUUAUUUUUUUGCUUUUUGAGAAAAAGGCGAGCUUCAAUUAAUUGAAAAGAGAAACACAGAUCAAAAUGGAAGCAACAUUGAUUGAGAGCCAUGAUCAAAGGAAAUGGAAUGUGAUGGAUAGGCAAAGCAGCUUACUGAACAAAGCUGGGAUUGGUUAUAAGCCACUGAAUGAAACACAAUAUGAAAUCUUGUUGGCACUAAAGAGCACAAAUGACACUAAUAGUGCAUGGCAAUCAAUAAAACUAAAAGAAAAUAAGGCAUUUGAAUGGAAAGAGAGGUGAGAUUGAUAUAACUGUACAAACUACAAGAUAGCUUCAAGAGCAAGCGUGCAAGGUUUGUAAUUAAGAUUUGAUAACAGCUAAACCAAGUACGGUGUUUGCAACGGUAGACUUUGUAUCAUAUGCAAUAGCAUAAGUAGUAAAAGGCAUCCUAUUUGGCUAAUACUACUAUGAAGACUCUAAUAAUUCACAGUAACAACAACAAAAACAACAAAGUCUUAAUCUCAAAUUAGUUUGGGUCGGCCAAUCGGCUUUGUUUGAGACUAGUUCCGCAUGAAAUAUUCAAAGGUAUAAAAUAAAAGUGCCCUCUAAAAUAUUAAAAAAAAAAAGUUGAACUUUUUGCCACUUCAUUUCGAAUCUUUAUCAAACAUCUUGUGAGCAAGGACUCCACGUGAUGUCUUGUGAAAACCUUCGAAGAGCAAAUGAUUUCGUUGAAUUUAGGUUGCCACAGGAAAAACUUAAUUAUAAAAAGGAAAAUAAAACAUUUUAAUAGCUACCAAUUAAAAGAUUCAAGUUCUGAAAAAAAAGUGAAGAAAUUCAAUUAAUUAGGUUUACACGCAUAUAUCCAGCAAGCUGAACAUAGUGAUACAAUGGCUACACAAUUGAACGGGAAAAGCAGUUUAAAUAGGCAAAUCUACCAUCAAAUCGAAUAGGCUAAAAGAAUCAACAACUGAAAAUCUGAAACGUAAAGCUAAAAGCUAAGCUAUAUCUACGAAAUUGAAUGAGUAAUCAACGGAAAUAGCACACAACUGCAAAAACAAAACGCAUAAUUGAAA
RNAcentral lists this unclassified non-coding RNA (1318 nucleotides) under Hevea brasiliensis (rubber tree). The record is from RNAcentral. Lineage: Eukaryota; Viridiplantae; Streptophyta; Magnoliopsida; Malpighiales; Euphorbiaceae.